Molecule: long non-coding RNA, 746 nt
Organism: Lucilia cuprina (Australian sheep blowfly)
Lineage: Eukaryota; Metazoa; Arthropoda; Insecta; Diptera; Calliphoridae
Exons: 3
Source: RefSeq, a predicted model, not a curated record
UUAGACUAUAGAGUCAGUAGUGUAUACACGGGGGAAAGGGAAAUUUAAAACCAACAUCAUCCCCCCUAACCGAAAAUAUAAACAUGAGGAAAAAGAAAAUAAGUGAAAAAACAAAAUAAUGAAAAAAAAAAAACAAUCGAACUUAAUCUGCUGCUGAAAGAGUACACUAUACUCUAUACUAUAGAGCUUUGGACUUGGAAUAACUAUGUGCUGAAUGUGGAUUUAUAAAGAAGAAGAAAAACAAGAUGAUUACAUUAUUCAACGCAAUUUUAACAAAGACUACAAUUGAAUAUUAUUGAGAAGAGCAAUUUUGUCAUAUUCUGUGAAAAUUUGGUACAUAAAUGUAAAGAUUUUUGUUAUCAUCUUAAGUAUAACUCUGUUUGUUUUGGCUUUAUACGAUGAUUUAUAUUUCAAAAAGUCUAGUAGUGGCUCCAACAACAUCCUUUAUAAAGGCAUUUCUGUGACCGACGCCUUGAUGAAACCUUAUACUGGCAUACAUAAUGUCUCUGGCUCACUCAUCAUAAAGAUCUAUUUUAAAGAACCCUGGACUAAGGCCAAAAACGCAUUGGGUAUACAAAAUCCCGGCUUCUAGGGGUGAGGUUACUUUCAAUCCAAGCAAGGGCUGUGGUGAAAAGAGAACAUUAAAUAAUAAAACAUGUUGCAACGAAAUGAAUAUGUUGCAACUGCGAAAAUCAGUAGAUGAGAAAGUAGCUUUCAACAUUCUCCUUUAAUUCAAAAGUUUUUAA